Molecule: non-coding RNA, 920 nt
Organism: Chiloscyllium plagiosum (whitespotted bambooshark)
Lineage: Eukaryota; Metazoa; Chordata; Chondrichthyes; Orectolobiformes; Hemiscylliidae
Source: RefSeq, a predicted model, not a curated record
UCCAGCACCACUCUGAUCUCUGGUCUGGUUUCCAGCAUCUGCAGUCCUCACUUUUGCCCAAAGGGAUAGAUACUGAGGGGUUUCUUAAAGGAGGAUAGAGAAGUGGACAGAUUUAGAGAGAGAAUUCCAGACCUUAGGCCCUAAGACAACCCUAAUUAACAUGUAUGGUGCAUACAAGCUGAAAUUAAAGGAUCUCAGAUAUCUUGAAGUGCUGGCAAACGACUGGACUGGACUGCAUGAAGUGAUUUGAAAACAAGAAUGGAAUUUCAAAAUUGAGGUUUGUUUUCGCUGAAACCGCUGUGGACCAAUGAACCCAGAGAUGAUGGUAAAUGGUAUUGAGUGCAAGAUAAGGCACCGAGUGUCGAUUUUAGUUAAAGCUUAAGCUAAUUGAGUACCUGAAGUUUUUAAGUUUAUAAUUGUGAGUGAUUUUAACUCUAUUACCUAUUGGAAACAGGGUGGAUGGACAGAUGAUUGAGAUUGUCCAGGUGACGAGCUGCAAAGAAGCCACAAGGAAUGUGUCUUACUCAGCAAUAGCAAGUCCAGAGAAACUACAGAAUAUCACCCCUGGAGGGUGUCAAAGAACUUCAAGCAGACACUGUAAAGGAAGUGUUGCAAUUCAAAAAACUGACCUAUGAUCACUUGUAGUUGCAUGGUUGAUGGAAGAUGAUUAUUACCUCUGCAGAAACCAUCCCUGGGAGUGAUGCAGGCUGAGAGGCCAACCCUGGGCAGGGAGUUCGAAACACAGUCCGGGUGACUGUGAAGAAGGUAGAGGGUCGUACACCGGUGGAUCGCAUCCUGUUUAUUAAGAAGGUAUUGCUAGGAUGCUGUGGGUUCGCUGCAGCGGACGUGUCCUGCCUGCAGGAUUUCCCUGGGGCAGGCUACUUUGAUGUGACCUUCAGAAAUGUGAAGCAGUGCGAACA